Molecule: ribosomal RNA, 322 nt
Filed under: Palaemon northropi
Lineage: Eukaryota; Metazoa; Arthropoda; Malacostraca; Decapoda; Palaemonidae
Description: partial 16S ribosomal RNA
Source: RNAcentral
UGCGGUAAUUUGACCGUGCAAAGGUAGCAUAAUCAGUAGUCUUCUAAUUGAAGGCUUGUAUGAAUGGUUGGAUGAAAGAAAAACUGUCUUUUUUAUAAUUUAAAAUUUGACUUUUAAGUGAAAAGGCUUAAAUUUAAUAAGGGGACGAUAAGACCCUAUAAAACUUUAUACUCUUUAUACUUUUACUGUGAAUUUUAAGUAAAUAUGGGUAAGUGUAGUGAGUAUUUUAUUGGGGAGAUAUCGAUAUAAGUUAUAACUGUCUGAGGAAAUAAAAUAAUCAUAGUUAUAUUUUGAUCCUUCUUUGRGGGUAAAAAGAAUAAGU